This 211-nucleotide unclassified non-coding RNA is filed under the name Hevea brasiliensis (rubber tree). The record is from RNAcentral. Lineage: Eukaryota; Viridiplantae; Streptophyta; Magnoliopsida; Malpighiales; Euphorbiaceae.
UGACAUUCCAGUUAUGAACUUUGCAGCAUCUGACUGAGUAGACGGAAGGGCAGAACAUCCCGCCAUACUGUUCGUCAAUCCAAUUAGGACCUUCGCAGCAUCUGACUGAGUAGACGCAGCAUCUGACUGAGUAGACAAAAGGACGGAAUAUUCGGCCACAUUGUUCGGCAUUCCAGUUAAACGCCCUGUCGCAUCUGAUUGAGUAGACAGA